CUCUGCAGGAAUAUUAAAGAAUGAAAGGAAAGAACAAAUUCAGACCUCAAGCAAAGUGUUUUCAUUACAGAGUUGAGUCUGAAGAGAGAGAUUCAUUCACAUAGAACGUAGAAACUGUAUGUGACAAAUCAGUGUCAUGACUGUUGCAUCGUCUCUGACUACAGUCUCAUCAGAAUAUACAUAUUUGCAGGGCUGGAGCUGGUAUUUAUAAGAAGAAUUCUUCCUAGAAGUGCAAAGCUACUAUCAGCAGGAACAAUGGUGCUUCUCAUGUGGCCUGUUCACUCCAGCUAUUAACAAGAUCUCUGUCCUAAUCCCAGCGUUGAAGACCUUUUUGCAGAAUUUACCAGGUGAGUGAUUUUCCCUGGACGUUAGUGAUUUAUGUGAACUCCAGAUCAGUGAAAUGCACAGUCUCACAAGGAAGGCCAUGCAACAUCUCACAGAUCACAGCCUUAAAAAGGAUCCAAAACCAGUCAGCAACCACAUCUUCCGUAAGUGAAAUCAGUCCAUCUUAUAAAAUCAUCUCAUAGGAGAGGAAAUGUCUAACAGUAAUAUUAAUUGAAUGUAACAACAAACCCAGGUAAAACUAUGGCUA
RNAcentral lists this long non-coding RNA (592 nucleotides) under Calidris pygmaea (Spoon-billed sandpiper). RNAcentral's name for it is "lncRNA (ENSCPGG00000000575.1)". Lineage: Eukaryota; Metazoa; Chordata; Aves; Charadriiformes; Scolopacidae. The record is from RNAcentral.